RNAcentral lists this unclassified non-coding RNA (251 nucleotides) under plant metagenome. RNAcentral's name for it is "partial contains small subunit ribosomal RNA, internal transcribed spacer 1, and 5.8S ribosomal RNA". The stretch from base 203 to 251 matches the Rfam family "5.8S ribosomal RNA", at positions 1 to 49 of the family's 154-position model. The record is from RNAcentral.
UCUCCGUUGGUGAACCAGCGGAGGGAUCAUUACUGAGUUACCGCUCUACAACCCUCUGUGAACAUACCUAACUGUUGCUUCGGCGGGCAGAGGUCCCUCGCGGAUCUCUCCCGGCAACGCCCUCACGGGCGGAGCGCCCGCCGGAGGAUACCAAACUCUAUUUUAACGACGUUUCUUCUGAGUGGCACAAGCAAAUAAUUAAAACUUUUAACAACGGAUCUCUUGGUUCUGACAUCGAUGAAGAACGCAGC